CGCGGGGUGGAGCAGCUCGGUAGCUCGGCGGGCUCAUAAUCCGCAGGUCGCAGGUUCAAAUCCUGUCCCCGCUA
Molecule: transfer RNA, 74 nt
Filed under: Streptosporangium subroseum
Lineage: Bacteria; Bacillati; Actinomycetota; Actinomycetes; Streptosporangiales; Streptosporangiaceae
Also listed under: 1 other name
Rfam family: tRNA
About the family: Transfer RNA (tRNA) molecules are approximately 80 nucleotides in length. Their secondary structure includes four short double-helical elements and three loops (D, anti-codon, and T loops).
Source: Rfam by way of RNAcentral